Homarus americanus (American lobster) is the source of this 10078-nucleotide RNA transcript. It is a transcript of the gene named serine/arginine repetitive matrix protein 2-like, with no coding region annotated. The transcript is spliced from 7 exons. Lineage: Eukaryota; Metazoa; Arthropoda; Malacostraca; Decapoda; Nephropidae. The record is from RefSeq and is a predicted model, not a curated record.
CCCAAGAAAAUGGCUGACUCGGAAGAGCGUGAUGAUGACAGCCAAGGUGGUGACAGCGAUGAUGAAAUAGCAGAGUUACGUAUUCAGGCACUACUGAGCAAGAGGGUUAAUGAAGCAGAGGUUUCUCCUGCACGAGAACCACCCCAGGAGAAGCAACGGAAUGUGAACAAACCCCUCCCUUCUGAGAGGCCUCGGCCAUUUAGACCUGCACAGGACUUUGAGAAGAAUCUUCAGGCUAGCAAUAUAACAACAAUUCCAGUUUUAGGAUCCCAGAACUACAAUAGAUGUUUCAAUCCCAUGUAUCAGGCGAUGGGACCUGACAGAAACUUUUAUCAGGGUAGGAACUUCUAUCCUCAAGUUCGUAUGCGAGGUGGCCGUGGUUUUGUUAGAGGACGAGGUAGAGGGGGGCGUGGGAGAGGUUAUAAUGACCGGCCUUCAAUGCCCUUCACCUCUACCAGGCCUCCAACUCCCCAACUUGUACUCCCACAAGACAGAUAUGUGGACAAAGCACCUCCUGAACCAAAUAAAACCAAAGAAAAAAUGAGUGCAAGGUGGCGUCGUAUGCAAGGAUCAGACAGUGAGAGUGAUAGUGAAGAUAGUGAGUCUGAUAGUAGUGACAGCAGCAGUGACACCACUGGCAGCAGCAGUGGCAGUAGCUCUGGUAGCUCUAGUGGCUCAGAUUCUGAAAGUGAAAAUAGCUCAGUAGAAAAGAGGAAAGUUGCCAAAGACCCCAAAAGGGAUGCCCCACUUACUGAUAAGAAACCAGUUCCACCAGUUAUCAGUGGUUCUCGGCAGAGACAGCAUUCUGGUAAAGGUUUAAUGCCAAAAUCCCCACCUGUGCAAAGUGCUGCCCCUCAUAAUCCUCCACCUACUCAUAAAGUUCCUCCUCCAACAAGGAGAGGAUCAGUCAGCCCGCCUCCAAAGAAGUAUGUCAACACUCAAGCAUCACCACGGCAACCAGUAAGGAGAGAAUCGACAAGUCCUCCUAGUAACAGAUCAUGGGUGUCUCCUGUCUCAAAGGGACGCAGCCCAAUUCGCCGACAAGGGUCCAGGAGCCCUCCACCCCGAACAGGCUUGAGGAGCCCGGGCCCUCAAGGUGGUUCAAGGGGUCUUUCUGCUCGCUCAAGAUCAAGAACUCCACCUCCCAGAAGAAGAUCCAGAAGCCCACGUCCUUGGCCAAAAUCAAGAAGUCCUCAGCGAACUUCUCAAAGUCCAAUGUUACGUUCUAGGAGUCCUUUUCCAAGAAGAAGUUCAAGGAGUCCAAUCCCCAGAAGAAGUUCUAGAAGUCCCUACCCAAGAAGGAGCUCCAGGAGUCCACUUGGUAGAAGAAGUAGUAGGAGUCCAUUGCCAAGAAGAAAUUCUAGGAGUCCACUAUUUAGACGUAGCUCAAGGAGUCCCCUUCCCAGAAGAAGUUCUAGAAGUCCUCCUCUGAGGAGAAACUCUAGAAGCCCAUUCCCGAGAAGAAGUUCUAGGAGUCCAGUCCCAAGAAGAAGUUCUAGAAGUCCAAGCUCAAGAUUGCCUUUGAGAGGCUCUUCCCCUCACAUAAUAUCAAGAAGUCCAAUUAGAGGAAGGUUAAAAAGUCCUCUUGCAGGAAGAGGCAAAAGUCCACAACAGAGACUGAGAAGUAAGAGUCCAGGUUUAAGAGGAAGGUCAAGAAGUCCAUUAACUCGAAGAAGCCCAUUGCUGAGACGAAGUUCAAGGAGUCCACUUCCUCAUAGAGGUUCAAGAAGUCCGGCACCUCGCAGAGUUACAAGGAGUCCGCUCCCUCAUAGGGGAACAAGAAGUCCUGCACUUCGUCGUGCCACACGGAGUCCACUAUCUCGCAGAGGCUCAAGAGGCUCACCACCACCACACAGGACUUCUAGAAGUCCACCUCCUAGGAGAAUAUCAAGAAGUCCUCUGUCUCGAAAACAUUCAAGAACUCCACCACUUCGGAAUAUAUCAAGAAGUCCUUUACCACGCAAACUUUCUAGAAGCCCUCCACCUCGGAAACAUUCCAGGAGUCCCCCGCCUCGGAAACUUACCAGGAGUCCCCCCCCUCGGAAACUUACUAGGAGUCCCCCCCCUCGGAAACUUAGCAGGAGUCCCCCACCUCGGAAACUUACCAGGAGUCCCCCACCUCGGAAACUUACUGGUACUCGGAGUCCUCCACCACGGAGAGUUUCAAGAAGCCCCCUCCCACGGAAACUUUCCAGAAGCCCUCCACCCCGACAUAUUUCAAAGAGUCCGCUUCGACAAAGACUCUCAAGAAGUCCACCCCCUCGCCGACUUUCACACAGUCCACUUCAUCGAAGACUUUCAAGAAGUCCUCCUCCAAGACACUUUUCUAGAAGUCCUCAACCAAGACGGCUAUCAAGAAGCCCUCUACCACGUCCAUUUUCAAGAAGCUCAGCCUCUCGUCGACCUAUAAGAAAUUCCCCUUUGAGACGGUUUUCAAGAAGUCCUCCACCACGAAGGUCUUCAAGAAGUCCACCACCACGCCGGAUUUCAAGGAGUCCCUCUGGACGCAUGCUCUCAAGGAGUCCAGGUCCUCGACGUAUUUCAAAAAGUCCUCUUCCUCCUGGAAGAUCAAGAAAAUUAUCACCUCAUCGUGUUGCUAGGAGCCCAUCGCCCAGAAGGAUUCGUAGGAUUUCUCCCUCCUCGCAUAGAUCUCAUAGUCCUGGUCAUAGACUACAGAGGUUUUCUAGAAGCCCUGCAAAUGAAAGGAAGUUAAGCUCACACAGUCCACCAUUUAACAGUUCACAUAGUCCAAGAUCUAGAAGAGGUCCAGCCUUAUCUAUUAGGUCCCAUAGUCCUCUGGCCGAUAGGUCUCCAAGUCCUGGACUGAGAAGAGAUUGGGGUCAUAGAGCAAAAAGAUCACAAAGUCCUGGUUCAUUUGGAAGAACUGGUAGUCCAUAUGGCAGGCAUUCCAGAAGCUUAUCUCCUCAUAAUAGGGUGGGAGGCAUGGUCCCAGGAAUGAUAGACAGGUCCCCAGUAGACAAUGGGUCUCCUAGAAGCUCAUUCCAUAGACAAGGAUUUGGGAGACCUGCUGAUGGCGUGGUUCAUGGUGAAAGAUUUUCUCCUCAAGGGAAUUCGGUAUUAGUAGGAGGAAGGCCUCAUGACUUCCCACCUGGGUAUGAUCACUAUCCUAUAAACAGACCACCCCAUAUGCCAAUGAAUGGUCACCAGGGUCAUCAACACUUCAUUGGAUUUAAUGAACCUGGCCCAAGAGCUCCUGAUGAACCUGCCUGGCCACAUGUAGGAAGGCGGGAAGGAAGGGAUCAGUUUUCACCUCAUCGAUUAUUGCCUGAGGGCCCAUGGCAAGGUCAUUACCAGCAAAGGGAUCGUCCAGGUCCUCCUGUUUUCCCACACCCGGACCAUGUUUUUCCACCAAACAGAGGGCAGCCUUUUAAUGUCCCUAUUCACAACCGCCAAGGUCCAGGGAUGUUGAUGCCUCAUGGCCGAGGACAGGGUUUCCAUGGACCUAGACAUGGAUCACCACAGGCACGCCGAGGGAGAUCACUUCCAAGACACGAGCCUCCUGGACGAUUUGAUCAUGAUUUACCACCUCCAGGACCUAAUGAAAGAAGGAGGCAAUUAUCACCGAACAGGCAAUUGGCUCGUAUUAGAGAGAGAUCACGCUCAAAUUCUCCUUUCUCAAGUAGACCACAAACAUUUCCACAGGGUGGAAGAGGAGGACCCAUGUCACCUCGAGGUCGAAUUCCCACUGUGCCAUCAAACAGGCGAGGUCCAAGAACUCCUCCUAUGCCUGCUGGCAGAAAAGUUUCACCACGACCAGGCCCCAGGGAUGCACAGAAGCCAUUGCGAGGGCCACAUGCUUCUUACCAGGAGAAUAAGGCACCAUUGCAAAGCCGAAGGCAAGGUUCUCCACACAUACCAACACAUGAAAGACCACCUUCACUUCGUGGUGGCCAUAAUCAAGCUUCUCAAAGACGCCCUCUACAUGGAAACAGUCCCCCUCCAGCAGGGCUCAGGGUUCAAGAUGGUGGUCCCCACAAACAACGGUUACAGCUACCAAAAACUCAUUCUCCUUUCCAGGGUGAUAGAAGACGAAAUGAAAAACAACCUGAGGAUGUUAGAGACAGAAAUAGGGAAGAUUCAAGUGGACAAGCUCAGCAUGAGAAAAAGGAUAAAAAAGUAGAAUCUCCUCGGAGAAUGGAGAAUAGACAGAAAUCUCCAUUCCGUAAUAGGUCUCCGAGUCGACAGCACAAUGCAAGAGUAGGUUUUGCUUCAGUUAGAGGACGAGGCAAUAGAGGGAGUAUACUUCAGAGUCCCUCUAGCCGAAAUCGAAGGCAAGUAGGAUCUAGACCUGAAACUUCAUCUAAUCAGCAACGGUUAAGAAGUCCAGGAAGUCGUGAGAAACAUGCUAAUGCUGCCAACUGGGACAAGAGGAACCCCAAAAGUGACUCUCAAGGGGAAAAACUGGAUUCAAAAUCUUUUAAUGAGCAGUUACCAGAAAGACAAGGUCGUACUGGAAGCCCAUGGUUGGAGCCAGUCACACCAGAAAAGCAAGGGCAAGGUGUAUGUGAUCGUUCUUUGUCUCCAGCAGGCAGUGUAAAUGAAAAUCAAGCUAAAAAGGUGAAGCGAGAAACAAAAACAACAGAGCAUGUUGCUGUAAGUAGAGGAAAAGAACAAGUAGAAAAGAAGGUUAAGGAAAAAGUAACUCCAGAAGCGGUGACACAACAAUCAGCUAAAGUGGAAAACAAAUCAGUUCAAGUACAAGACAAACUGGAAGCACGCAGAAAGAAGUUUGAAUCUAAUAAUCCAAUCUCCGCUCAAGAGUCUCGUAAAGUUUUGCUGAAAGCACCGGAACCAACAAAAGAAGUAGAGGAGGACAAGAAGAAGAAAGAUGAGAAGAUAAAGGAAGAUGAUGACAAGAAAAAGAAGAAAAAAAAGAAAAAAGCAAAAGAUGAUGACGAUGAUGACGAUGCAUCAGAAAAGAGCAAGUCUAGCAAGAAAAAGAAAAAGAAGAAGAAGAAGGAAGCCAAAAAGAAAAAGAAGAAGCACAAAAAGGCAGAUAGUGACAGUGAAGAGGAAGAAAAACAGCCAGCUGUAAGCAAAGUUACUAGAGAAAGCAAAAAGGACAACAUAGACUCAACAGAUUUGAGACAUAUGUUAAAGAGGAAAGUGGAUCCACCAAGAGGAGGGGGAGGAGAAAGGAGUGGAAGCAAAGUGGACAUCGACGAAAGAGAAGAGAAGCGUAGGAGGAAGGAUAAAGAAGAACCAUCGAAGACUGUAAUUGGUGGCAAGAGCAGACAAGCAGAGAGCAGAAGAAAGAAACAGCAUGAAGGGAAGCCUCUCCUGGUGACUGUUGGCUCUGGUGAAGAUCGGCAAGUCACUUCAGGCAAUGUUCCGGAAAACCAGAGUGAUGAAGGAAAGGCUUCCCAACGCUUGUCUGUUCACCUUCGCCUUGGGCCCGCCAAAAAUUCCUGGGAUGACAAGUCUGGUAACUCUCAUGGCAGUAGUGGGGGUGGUGGUGGUGGCAGUAGACACAAGAGACGUGAAAAAUCCAAGGGUCGACAUGGUGGAGGAGCUGGCAACAGGGUGAAGCUGAGGCGAUGAUCAUUUCAGUCUGCCUGGGAUGCAGGUAACGCACACAUCUCGUUGCUCCUGCUGCUGCACUGGCUCAACCUGAGGCAUUCCCUAAUAUUUCAUUUUCAGAGAAGUCUUAGUAUUUCUAAAGUCAUCAUGAAAUAUAUGCAGAUUUAUCCAGACAUUCACCUCUAAAGAUGCCGUUGUGAUGGAAUGGAUUUCAUAGAGUGUGGAGGCAACUUUACAUCAUGAUAAAUUGAUUUGCUAAGAAUUUGAAAACCAGUUUACGUUGGUGUUUAAGAAAUGAAAAAGGGAAGUGCAUUUAGUGUGUCAGUGAGAAGAGUCGAGAAAAAAGUGGAAGAGGCAUGAAAAUGUUAAAAAAUUAUUCAUGUGACUCUACCUGUAUAACCACAGUGCUUUGAGAGAAAAGGCACAGAAUUGUGUGAAGAAUUCACCACCAGCAUGAUUUGUGAUGGCUAAUUAUUCAUUGAAAAUUUAUGCCACAUUAUUGUGUAAAGUACACAUACACAGUGUGGUUUGAUUUUGGGUACCUUGAGAAAAGUGCUAAGUUCUCGCCAUUAUUGUACCAAUAUUUAAGCUCGCAAGCAAUGAUUAUAUGUAAAAAUAUAUAAAAAGGUGAAUAAAUAUUAGAGAGCAAGUUGAAAAGCAUUAAUGAAAAAGUAGUGGGAAUAGAAUGAAAAACAUAUUAAAAGGAAAAUAUUACUUUGUAAUCAAGUGGUUGCAGUAAUUUCAUGUCAGUUAAUAUUACAUACAACAACUGAAUAUCUUAUGUGAUACAUCAAAGUGUUGCAUAUUUUAAAUUACUUAUGAAGUAUUAUUAGUUUUGUUAUUAUAAUAAGUUGCACGUGAUAAUAUACUGGUAGUUGGUGUCAAUGCAAAAAGUCGGUAAAAUCCACCGAGUCAGAAGACACCUGUUUUACUUUGCACAAGAGUUGCUACGCUCAUAAAUGUUUGUACAUCUACUAAUGUCAUACAUUUUUUAUUGUUAUUAUUGAUAUUUAAUAUUUUUUAUAAUUAUUUGGGAAAUGUUAUGAGGAUAUGUACAUAUUUUUCAUUUAAUGGUAUUUUUUAAUAUUUGCAAAUUUCACCUGAAAUAGGGUUCACAUGUUUACUAAUUUAUUUUAUCCUACAGUUGCAAUAUAUUUUUUAUACAAACACUAACACUCACAAAGGGUGCAUUAAUUUAUUGGAAAUGCUUAUUAGAGUGUAUAAAAUUUAACACUGCACUACCUCUCAAUAAUCAAACUAGAAAAUUGGCCGGUAACACUGGGCAAUUUUUUCCCCAAAAGUAAACUCAUAAAACUUGUACAUAGUAACACUAUAAAAUAUUUCAGGAACUUUAAUCUAAACUUAAAAAAGAAAAAAUACAAGCAGUAUAUUCAUAAGUAUGAAUCAAUAAUACUUGUGGCAUGGUACUGUACAGUACUGUACUUAUCUGAGUAACAAAAGUGUAGGCCUGAUGAUCAAUUUUAGGAAAUGUGAUUACUAUACAGCACACUGUAUACUAAGCUUUCAGUAUAGGCAGAAGCCGUUUAAUUAGGUAUCCAAUUACAGCUGAGUGGAAUAGAGUUGCCAUAGCUGCAGACCAAUGACCUAUAAGGUAUGAGUUCAGUGCUGUGUCCACUAGACUAUCACACCCCCUUGAUACUGGUACAGUACUGUAGUUUUUAACCCCAGUCCUUUGUGCAGAAUUUACUGUUUACCCAUUUACAAGUAUCAUGAUUUCUCCCAGGUCUUUGUUUUUCCAGGACCUUGGUUUGGACAAAUUAGUUGACAAAUACAGUAAACACAUCUAAAGUGCUCUUUCCCUUUCCUGGAAAGAUUGUAGAUACAUGUAUAAUUCUCUUCUGUAUACUGUACUUUUGAAUUUUAGGAAAUACAGUAAACCUCUACCUUCGCGGGGGUUAGGUUCCUCAAAAACACUGUGAAUGUCAACUCCGCAUAUGUUAAACUUAAGACAGGGAAAAAUGGGGUUAGGGGAUCCACACACUUGAAGAGAUACUUUUAUGAGUAAUAUUUGUACAUGUUAAAUAAAUCAAAUAUGUGUAAAAACAUAGUACAACAGUACUGUAAUAUACUGUACAGUGGGCAGUGCCCAAGGAUCAAAUACAGUUUAUAGUUCUUGACAAUGCCUUGAUUCAGCUUCCUCAUCUUGCUUGCUAGCUUCCACGUGGGCUUGAUUUGGAAUUUAUUCCUCUGUCUUUGUCUGUUCCUUUGUUACUUACCUAAAGUAACGGUCAAUAGGUACCCAUGUGGGUAUGCGACAGUACCAAGGGUAAUUUGCUCCUCUUCUAAGUAAAGAAGCCUUCUAUUCGUAUAUUCGCGUUGCUCGUGGCAAGGAUCGUCACAACAAUGGCGGAUUGUUCCAAGAGUGACUCAUUAUCAGGAGCGACAGGAAACUCUUAAAAAAAAAUUAUUUUAUUUAGUUCAUGUGUUAACUGCAAAAUAGGUACAAAAUAUAACUACAAUAUUAAUAAAUUGGGAAAUUAAAUCAUUAAGCUGGUGUGAGAUGAUUUAGUCUAAAAUUUCUCAAAUAUGUUCGUAUAAUAAUACGGUAUCCUUGUGAAUGGACCCUUCAACUGGGCAUAAAAAUGCACUGGCAAAAUGUAGUUUUUUAAUGAUUUUCACCACUUAGCAACUUAUUGCUGUUUGGGUGGCACUUUUUUCCAUUACAGAACUCUUUACAUAAUAAUUAUAAUGAAUAAGUACAAAGUCUGAUGAUUCUAGCGAUUUUUCUCAAUUGGUAAGAUAAAACACAAGAAAUGGAAACGGAAUUGUAAACACACCUUGAGAAAUAAGAGCGCCAAAUCAUCUGCCACACAACUCAUGAACGGAAAGAUUAGCAUUAUCAAGGAAGUUAAUAAGGAUAUCAAACCAAUGUUAAAAUACAUUUUGUCUUACUAUAAGUUUCUAUCUUAUUACGCGUUUUUCAUCUCAAAUCGUACAAUUUGGUUUAGAACUGUCGAAAGCUGUCCUCACCAAUUAUAAUGAUUUGGGUUUAAGCUACCUAAUAUUGGAAGGUGACUUGAAGAUGGGUCAUGGGUCAAAGUAAUAUAAAUAAAAUAAUAACCCAACAUCACCUGAAGGUUCCCAGGGGAUAUUAAAGGGAUUGAAAUCACAGUCAGGAAAUUUUUGGUCCGUGACCCAAAUGUCCUGCGAAUGUUGAGGGUUUACUGUAUGUAAUUGUAACCAUUAGCUCCCAAAAAAGGUAAAAAAGAAGGGUUCGAGUAUCAGCAGAAUGUAAAAACGAGUACUGUACGUACGUGAAUAUUAUAAGGAGGGUUAAAAGAAUGUUGACAAUGCAAAAGACAAAGAGAUGAAAGAUAGGUAGAAAGGUUGUCAUAUGGUAUACAAGGGAUCAAGAAGUUUUUUUGGGAUGAAUGGAUUGAAAUGACAGUACGAAUGAAAGAGGGAAUAAUAUGGUGGAAAAAAGAUGUAGGGGUGAUAGGAAAAACAUGACGAGUAAAUGUUGAAUGUUAAGAGGUACUGAGAGAUAGACUCACCCAGAUUUGGACAGGCUUAAUAAUAGUGAUGCAUUGGAGUGGAUGGAGCACUAGAGUUGUUCAGGUUGGAAGGUAAAAAAGUGAUGUAAUGUGAAUGGAGGAGGAUGUACAAUAUAGGUUGUUCAUGGUUUUAGGAAUGGUAGAAAAAUGUAUAGUUUUAUUUAAGGGGAGUGGCGAUAAGAUUGAAGACUUUAAAUUACCUGUAUAAAGGAAUGUGUUUUAAGUGAACAGUAAUAAGCCCUUGAUUGUGGAAAUGGUACAUUUUUUGAAACUCAUGUGUAGCUGUAUCAAAUUCAUGUCAGGUAGCAUACUAUGAUUGGUUGGUUUCAAAUAAUUUGCAUAAAUUAUUCUGGUUUUCAAUCAAUUAUAUUUUCUAUUUUCACAAUUUAUGCACAGUAUUUUUAUAUAGAAUUCUGGUGGGAUUGGUUACAGUUGUAUGUUAGAGAAUUAAAUUUUUUAGUAUGUCAGUAUGUACCCCCAAGAAUUUGCCACAUACUAAUCGGAAAUUAUUUAAAACACUACUACUACUGUACUGUGUUUUUAUAUCUUACAUGGUGAAAAAUUAUUGGAGAAUUAUAUAAUUAAUACAUACUAUAUUCAUUUACUGUACUAAAUGGUACCGGUAUUUACCCUCAGUGCAUCCCCAAGUCUUAGUUAGAUUGAGGAUAAUUUCCUCCCAGAUCCUUGUUCACCUCUGGGGUAAGCUAGGACUUACAGACUGGCUUAUGAUGCCAAAGGUUUUUAUCCACUUUUAAUUAUUUUAUUAUUAGUUACAUAUAACUGUAUUUAAAUUACUUUAAAAUGCAAUCACUAUUAUUUUAACGAAUGGGUCACUAGUGACUACUUAUAAUGAUUUUCUUAUUUUACUAUUACUGGUACGUACAACAUAAUUGUACUGUAUUAUUAACAAUGUUUUCGCUUUUUGGUCACAGUUUGGUUACCAAAUUUGGUCCAGUUCCAACCAAUGCAAAACCUUUAGUAACAAGUUUUUACUUUAAUUUAUUAUCAUAACUCAUUCUAUA